CCUACGGGAGGCAGCAGUGAGGAAUAUUGGUCAAUGGCCGAGAGGCUGAACCAGCCAAGUCGCGUGAGGGAAGACGGCCCUACGGGUUGUAAACCUCUUUUGUCGGGGAGCAAAGAGAGUCACGUGUGACUCAUUGAGAGUACCCGAAGAAAAAGCAUCGGCUAACUCCGUGCCAGCAGCCGCGGUAAUACGGAGGAUGCGAGCGUUAUCCGGAUUUAUUGGGUUUAAAGGGUGCGCAGGCGGAGGUGCAAGUCAGCGGUAAAAUUUCGGGGCUCAACCCCGUCGUGCCGUUGAAACUGGCGUUCUUGAGUGAGCGAGAAGUAUGCGGAAUGCGUGGUGUAGCGGUGAAACGCAUAGAUAUCACGCAGAACUCCGAUUGCGAAGGCAGCAUACCGGCGCUCAACUGACGCUCAUGCACGAAAGCGUGGGUAUCGAACAGGAUUAGAUACCCGAGUAGUC
This 459-nucleotide ribosomal RNA is filed under the name uncultured bacterium. RNAcentral's name for it is "partial 16S ribosomal RNA". It matches the Rfam family "Bacterial small subunit ribosomal RNA", at positions 338 to 795 of the family's 1533-position model. The record is from RNAcentral.